GAUGAACGCUGGCGGCGUGCCUAAUACAUGCAAGUCGAGCGAACAGACGAGGAGCUUGCUCCUCUGAUGUUAGCGGCGGACGGGUGAGUAACACGUGGAUAACCUACCUAUAAGACUGGGAUAACUUCGGGAAACCGGAGCUAAUACCGGAUAACAUGUUGAACCGCAGGGUUCAACAGUGAAAGACGGUCUUGCUGUCACUUAUAGAUGGAUCCGCGCCGCAUUAGCUAGUUGGUAAGGUAACGGCUUACCAAGGCAACGAUGCGUAGCCGACCUGAGAGGGUGAUCGGCCACACUGGAACUGAGACACGGUCCAGACUCCUACGGGAGGCAGCAGUAGGGAAUCUUCCGCAAUGGGCGAAAGCCUGACGGAGCAACGCCGCGUGAGUGAAGAAGGUCUUCGGAUCGUAAAACUCUGUUAUUAGGGAAGAACAAAUGUGUAAGUAACUAUGCACGUCUUGACGGUACCUAAUCAGAAAGCCACGGCUAACUACGUG
This 497-nucleotide ribosomal RNA is filed under the name uncultured bacterium. RNAcentral describes it as "partial 16S ribosomal RNA". It matches the Rfam family "Bacterial small subunit ribosomal RNA", at positions 28 to 507 of the family's 1533-position model. The record is from RNAcentral.